GCCGGUCAUGGUGGCUCGUGUCUGUAGUUCCAGCUACUCGGGAGGCUAAGGUGAGAGGAUCGCUUGAGCCCAGGAGUUCUGGGCUGUAGCGCUCUAUGCCGAUCUGGUGUCCACACUAAGUUUGGCAUCAAUAUGGUGACCUCCCAGGAGCAUGGGACCACCACGUUGCCUAAGGAGGGGUGAACCGGCCCAGGUCAGAAACAGAGCAGGUCAAAACCCCCGUGCUGAUCAGUAGUGGGAUUGCACCUGUGAAUAGCCACUGCACUCCAGCCUGGGCAAUGUAGCCAGACGCCAUCUCA
This 299-nucleotide signal recognition particle RNA is filed under the name Cebus imitator (Panamanian white-faced capuchin). RNAcentral describes it as "Metazoan signal recognition particle RNA (ENSCCAG00000002371.1)". It matches the Rfam family "Metazoan signal recognition particle RNA". From Rfam's summary of the family: The signal recognition particle (SRP) is a universally conserved ribonucleoprotein. It is involved in the co-translational targeting of proteins to membranes. Lineage: Eukaryota; Metazoa; Chordata; Mammalia; Primates; Cebidae. The record is from RNAcentral.